This 421-nucleotide unclassified non-coding RNA is filed under the name soil metagenome. Its description in RNAcentral is "partial contains 5.8S ribosomal RNA, internal transcribed spacer 2, and large subunit ribosomal RNA". The stretch from base 1 to 120 matches the Rfam family "5.8S ribosomal RNA", at positions 35 to 154 of the family's 154-position model. The record is from RNAcentral.
GAUGAAGAACGUAGCGAAAUGCGAUACGUAAUGUGAAUUGCAGAAUUCAGUGAAUCAUCGAAUCUUUGAACGCAUAUUGCGCUCUUUGGUAUUCCGAAGAGCAUGCUUGUUUGAGUAUCAGUAAACACCUCAACCUCUUCUUGAUUUUUCAAAAGGAGGGUGGACUUGAGCUAUCCCAACAACCUUUACCGGUCGGCGGGCGGCUUGAAAUGCAGGUGCAGCUGGAUUUUUAUCUGAGCUAAAAGCAUAUCUAUUUAGUCCUCGUCAAACAGGAUUAUUACUUUUGCUGCAGCUAACAUAAAGGAUAAUUGUCCUCUUUGCUGACUGAUGCAGGAUUUUACGACACUUUAUGUGUUGUUCAACUCGAUCUCAAAUCAAGUAAGACUACCCGCUGAACUUAAGCAUAUCAAUAAGCGGAGGA